GGCUGCUAAUACCGGAUGUGCCGAAAGGUGAAAGAUUUAUUGCCUGAAGAUGAGCUCGCGUCUGAUUAGCUAGUAGGUGUGGUAAGAGCGCACCUAGGCGACGAUCAGUAGCUGGUCUGAGAGGACGAUCAGCCACACUGGGACUGAGACACGGCCCAGACUCCUACGGGAGGCAGCAGUGGGGAAUUUUCCGCAAUGGGCGAAAGCCUGACGGAGCAAUACCGCGUGAGGGAGGAAGGCUCUUGGGUUGUAAACCUCUUUUCUCAAGGAAGAAUACAAUGACGGUACUUGAGGAAUAAGCAUCGGCUAACUCCGUGCCAGCAGCCGCGGUAAUACGGAGGAUGCAAGCGUUAUCCGGAAUGAUUGGGCGUAAAGCGUCCGCAGGUGGCAAUGAAAGUCUGCUGUUAAAGAGUGAGGCUCAACCUCAUAAAAGCGGUGGAAACUACAUAGCUAGAGUACGUUCGGGGCAGANGGAAUUCCUGGUGUAGCGGUGAAAUGCGUAGAGAUCAGGAAGAACACCGGUGGCGAAAGCGCUCUGCUAGGCCUGUACUGACACUGAGGGACGAAAGCUAGGGGAGCGAAUGGGAUUAGAUACCCCAGUAGUCCUAGCCGUAAACGAUGGAUACUAAGCGUGGCUUGUAUCGACCCGAGCCGUGCCGGAGCUUACGCGUUAAAUAUCCCCGCCUGGGGAGUACGCACGCCAGUGUGAAACUCAAAGGAAUUGACGGGGGGCCGCACAAGCGGUGGAGUAUGUGGUUUAAUUCGAUGCAACGCGAAGAACCUUACCAAGACUUGACAUGUCGCGAAUCCUCUUGAAAGGGAGGAGUGCCUUCGGGAGCGCGAACACAGGUGGUGCAUGGCUGUCGUCAGCUCGUGUCGUGAGAUGAUUGGGUUAGUCCCGCAACGAGCGCAACCCUCGUUUUUAGUUGCCAGCAUUAAGUUGGGCACUCUAGAGAGACUGCCGGUGACAAACCGGAGGAAGGUGGGGAUGACGUCAAGUCAGCAUGCCCCUUACGUCUUGGGCUACACACGUACUACAAUGCUACGGACAAAGGGCAGCAAGCUAGUGAUAGCAAGCAAAUCUCAUAAACCGUAGCUCAGUUCAGAUCGCAGGCUGCAACUCGCCUGCGUGAAGUCGGAAUCGCUAGUAAUUGCAGGUCAGCAUACUGCAGUGAAUUCGUUCCCGGGCCUUGUACACACCGCCCGUCACACCAUGGAAGCUGGCAACGCCCGAAGUCAUUACUCCA
This 1247-nucleotide ribosomal RNA is filed under the name Nostoc sp. MGCY345. Its description in RNAcentral is "bacterial SSU rRNA". It matches the Rfam family "Bacterial small subunit ribosomal RNA", at positions 158 to 1437 of the family's 1533-position model. The record is from RNAcentral. Lineage: Bacteria; Bacillati; Cyanobacteriota; Cyanophyceae; Nostocales; Nostocaceae.